GUUUUUUUUUCUUCUUCUUCUUCUUCCUUAUCUGCAUCCUUCUGGAAAUGUUUACCCAAUCCACAGGGGAGGCAGCGAAAUGAAGUUGGAACAGGCCCAUCCCUGAGGGAAACAGGACCCAUCUGGAUGCCGAAGUGCCUCUGCCCCGGCAACGCUGGUGGUGGUGGCGAUGGGGGUGGGGAGCUUGAAGAAGACAGGGAAAGAUGAGUCUCUUCCAGUUUUCACACGCUUCAGGAUCCAGUCGCAGGCUGAGCGAAGCAAAACUCCCAGGGAAACGUCUUCCCUGUGGGAUAGGGAGAGAGCUGUGGUCCGGCAUGGACCCUCUUCUACUCAGAUUCAAACCAGCCUCCCCUGGAAACUGGGACAGUUCUGUUUGCAAAGGGCGGGCUGCAGCCUCCACAGCUGCCCGGACUUCUCAGAACCAGCAAGAGCCAGGUUGCGGUGGUUUGGAGCCCAGCGCCGAUAAUAAAUCUCCAUCCUGAAGCCUUUGACUGCCUCCGCGGGGAAUUGAAGCACAGCCUUUCUGAGCGCCCGCUGGCAGCCCCGCCGCAUUGCCAAGCCUUGACUCCAGGGCUCUGGCAGACGGCCUUUCUGGACCUGCCUUUUUUCUUCACUUUUUUCCCUCCCCCAACCUCUCAUCUCACCUCUCCUUGAGCAUUCACAUUUCUAUUUCCAGCCAACUGUUUUUAAAUCCUGGGAGAGUUCAGAGAAGACUUUAAAGGAUUUUGCAAUCUACCAGUGCGCCUCUCCCCUUGAACUUGGAGUACUGAGGAGGUGGGACAACAGGUUCCAGAGCUGGGCACCCACGCUUCUCAGGUAUGCUUCUAGUUCUGUGACCUUGGGAAGGUCAUGCACAUCUUGCUUUUUCCAGGUGUACAGUGAAGAUUUGUGUUCAAUGAAUUUUGAGCCCCAAACUCUGACAUACUAGCUGAUGAAGUAGUUCUGCUCGGUUGUCUGAAUCUGUACUGUACAAAGCAAUGAGGAUAAAGCUUUGCAGAUGCCUCCCCUCUGCAGAGAGGCUGGAAGCACAUCUUCCAGCACAAUUCUCUUGUGGAGCUGGCCCAAAUCCAAGCUCCCUUGCAACAGAACAGCUCUUUUUCCCAGAGCCCUUCAUCAAUAGCCGUUUACAUAGAAAUUGACAUGCUUGCUUGUCUAUCUCCCACUAACUCUUAGGGGAAGAUGGUAGACAUGCCUUCAUUCGUAUAAUCAACCUGUUUUAUGUUAAAUGCCUACUAUGUGACUUGCUAGGUGGCUAGGAGACAAUGGUAUACACAGCCGACCCUGCCUUCAGGGGGCUUGCAAUCUAGAGAGAGAGGCUUAGGUCAUUUAUAUAACCACACAAAUCUGUCCUGACAAUCAUGGCAGGAGCUACAGAGUGAAGUUCAGAGAGCUGGGAGUGUGUGGG
This 1405-nucleotide long non-coding RNA is filed under the name Sus scrofa (pig). Its description in RNAcentral is "lncRNA (ENSSSCG00050044798.1)". Lineage: Eukaryota; Metazoa; Chordata; Mammalia; Artiodactyla; Suidae. The record is from RNAcentral.